UAACACAUGCAAGUCGAACGAGCGAGAGAGAGUUUACUUUUUCGAGCGAGUGGCGAACGGGUGAGUAACGCGUGAGGAACCUGCCUCAAAGAGGGGGACAACAGUUGGAAACGACUGCUAAUACCGCAUAAGCCCACGGCUCGGCAUCGAGCAGAGGGAAAAGGAGCAAUCCGCUUUGAGAUGGCCUCGCGUCCGAUUAGCUAGUUGGUGAGGUAACGGCCCACCAAGGCGACGAUCGGUAGCCGGACUGAGAGGUUGAACGGCCACAUUGGGACUGAGACACGGCCCAGACUCCUACGGGAGGCAGCAGUGGGGAAUAUUGCACAAUGGGGGAAACCCUGAUGCAGCGAUGCCGCGUGGAGGAAGAAGGUCUUCGGAUUGUAAACUCCUGUUGUUGAGGAAGAUAAUGACGGUACUCAACAAGGAAGUGACGGCUAACUACGUGCCAGCAGCCGCGGUAAAACGUAGGUCACAAGCGUUGUCCGGAAUUACUGGGUGUAAAGGGAGCGCAGGCGGGAAGACAAGUUGGAAGUGAAAUCCAUGGGCUCAACCCAUGAACUGCUUUCAAAACUGUUUUUCUUGAGUAGUGCAGAGGUAGGCGGAAUUCCCGGUGUAGCGGUGGAAUGCGUAGAUAUCGGGAGGAACACCAGUGGCGAAGGCGGCCUACUGGGCACCAACUGACGCUGAGGCUCGAAAGUGUGGGUAGCAA
This 709-nucleotide ribosomal RNA is filed under the name uncultured Lachnospiraceae bacterium. RNAcentral's name for it is "bacterial SSU rRNA". It matches the Rfam family "Bacterial small subunit ribosomal RNA", at positions 49 to 771 of the family's 1533-position model. Lineage: Bacteria; Bacillati; Bacillota; Clostridia; Lachnospirales; Lachnospiraceae. The record is from RNAcentral.